UAAACAUCGAUACCUUUUUACACCCAUUAUCCGCCCGGGUACUACAAGCAUUAGCUUAAAACCCAAAGGACUUGGCGGUGCUUAAGAUCCCCCUAGAGGAGCCUGUUCUAGAACCGAUAAUCCACGUUUAACCUCACCCUCUCUUGUUUUUCCCGCCUAUAUACCGCCGUCGUCAGCUUACCCUAUGAAGGCCUAAUAGUGAGCAAAAAUGGCACAGCCCAAAACGUCAGGUCGAGGUGUAGCACAUGAAAGGGGAAGAAAUGGGCUACAUUCCCUAAAAUAGGAGCAAUACGGACAAUAUGUUGAAAUACGUAUUUUAAGGAGGAUUUAGCAGUAAGAGGAAAUUAGAGUGUUCCACUGAAUUCGGCCCUAAAGCGCGC
Molecule: ribosomal RNA, 380 nt
Filed under: Betta foerschi
Lineage: Eukaryota; Metazoa; Chordata; Actinopteri; Anabantiformes; Osphronemidae
Description: partial 12S ribosomal RNA
Rfam family: Bacterial small subunit ribosomal RNA
Source: RNAcentral